CGUAGGUGAACUGCGGAAGGAUCAUUACCACACCAAMAAAAUAUCCACGUGAAUGUAUUCUUUAUUAGGUUUGUGCUGGUCAUCUCUCGGGAUGUCUGGCUAGCCGAAGGUUUCGCAAGAGACCGAUGUACUUUUAAUCCCUUUUAAAACAAUUAACUGAUAAACUUAGCCAUCAGAAAUGAUAGCUUGUAAUUAAAAUACAACUUUCAACAGUGGAUGUCUAGGCUCGCACAUCGAUGAAGAACGCUGCGAACUGCGAUACGUAAUGCGAAUUGCAGAAUUCAGUGAGUCAUCGAAAUUUUGAACGCAUAUUGCACUUUCGGGUUAGUCCUGGAAGUAUGUCUGUAUCAGUGUCCGUUAAUACAAACUUGUUUUAUUCUUUGGAGUGAAACAGAAUGUGAAGGUCUUGCUUCGGCAAGUCCUUUUAAAUGACGGUCCCUGUAUAGCGACGAGUGCAUUAUACAAAGGGCUAUAUGAUUCGGAUCUCGAAUGUUCUGUGUUGAUAUUGCACAGCUUUUGAAGGAAGAAUAAAUUGCGGUAGUUUUGCUUGUGUUUCGGCACAGGUGAACAACAUAUUGCUUUUUAUUUCGUCUGGAAGAGGUUGGUAGUAGAGGGCAGGAUGCGGGUUUUGAUAGUAUAGUCUGGUGUACUAAGAACUAUAUGGAAGCAAAUUGGGAAACAACAUCCAAUUUGGACCUGAUAUCAGACAAGACUACCCGCUGAAUUUAAGCAUAUCAAUAAGCGA
This 745-nucleotide ribosomal RNA is filed under the name Aphanomyces stellatus. RNAcentral's name for it is "eukaryotic LSU rRNA". The record is from RNAcentral. Lineage: Eukaryota; Oomycota; Saprolegniomycetes; Saprolegniales; Verrucalvaceae.